Molecule: ribosomal RNA, 524 nt
Filed under: uncultured bacterium
Lineage: Bacteria
Description: partial 16S ribosomal RNA
Rfam family: Bacterial small subunit ribosomal RNA
Source: RNAcentral
GACGAACGCUGGCGGCGUGCUUGACACAUGCAAGUCGAACGGACAGACAGAGAGCUUGCUCUCUUGAAGUUAGUGGCGAACGGGUGAGUAACGCGUAAUCAACCUGCCCUUCAGAGGGGGAUAACAACGGGAAACCGUUGCUAAUACCGCGUACGAUUCAUGAACGGCAUCGUUUAUGAAUGAAAGGUGGCCUCUAUGUAUAAGCUAUCGCUGAAGGAGGGGAUUGCGUCUGAUUAGCUAGUUGGAGGGGUAACGGCCCACCAAGGCAAUGAUCAGUAGACGGUCUGAGAGGAUGAACGGCCACAUUGGGACUGAGACACGGCCCAAACUCCUACGGGAGGCAGCAGUGGGGAAUCUUCCGCAAUGGACGAAAGUCUGACGGAGCAACGCCGCGUGAGUGAUGAAGGUCUUCGGAUUGUAAAGCUCUGUUAAUCGGGACGAAAGAGUUCUGCGUGAAUAAUGCAGAAAAGUGACGGUACCGGAAUAGAAAGCCACGGCUAACUACGUGCCAGCCGCCGCAGUAA